This 466-nucleotide ribosomal RNA is filed under the name uncultured bacterium. RNAcentral's name for it is "partial 16S ribosomal RNA". It matches the Rfam family "Bacterial small subunit ribosomal RNA", at positions 29 to 507 of the family's 1533-position model. The record is from RNAcentral.
AAUGAACGUUGGCGGCAUGGAUUAGGCAUGCAAGUCGAGCGCGAAACGUAGCAAUACGUGGAGAGCGGCGAAAGGGCGAGGAAUAUGUGGGAACCUACCUUCGGGCCUGGAAUAGCGGCGGGAAACUGCCGGUAAUGCCAGAUAACGUCCCCGGACCAAAGGUGUGAUUCCGCCUGGAGAUGAGGCCACAUCCUAUCAGGCUGUUGGUGUGGUAACGGCGCACCAAGGCUAAGACGGGUAUGGGGUGUGAGAGCAUGCCCCCACUCACUGGGACUGAGACACUGACCAGACUACGACGGGUGGCUGCAGUCGAGAUUCUGCGGUAAGGGGCGGAAGCAUGACCGAGCGAUGCGGCGGGCAGGAUGAAGGCCCGCGGGUUGUAAACCGCUGUCGGAGGGGAAUAACGGUCGGUGGGUUCUCCCAUCGAUUUGAAUGAUCCUAGGAGAAAGGACGGGCUAAGUUCGUG